GUCUCAGUGGCGUAGUGGUUAGCGCACGACCCCCGAUUAGGCGCGAGUCGCGGGUUCGAAUCCCGCCCGAGAUG
RNAcentral lists this transfer RNA (74 nucleotides) under Nippostrongylus brasiliensis. It matches the Rfam family "tRNA". From Rfam's summary of the family: Transfer RNA (tRNA) molecules are approximately 80 nucleotides in length. Their secondary structure includes four short double-helical elements and three loops (D, anti-codon, and T loops). The record is from Rfam by way of RNAcentral. Lineage: Eukaryota; Metazoa; Nematoda; Chromadorea; Rhabditida; Heligmosomidae.